CGGUGGCGCACGCCUUUAAUCCCAGCACUCGGGAGGCAGAGGCAGGCGGAUUUCUGAGUUCGAGGACAGCCUGGACUACAGAAUGAGUUCUAGGACAGCCAGGGCUACACAGAGAAACCCUGUCUCGAAAAACCAAAAAAAAAAAAAAAAAAAGGAGAGAGCUGGGGAUGUGGCUCAGUAGUGUGCUUGGCUGGUAUGCAGAAGGUGCUGAGUCCCGAUCCCUCAGGACCAUGUAAACCUGGCGAAGUGGUGCAUGCCUGGAAUUCCAUUAUUUAAGAGGUGUAGGCAAGAAUGAAAGGGCUCUGUAGUGUUUUUUAGUGAGGCAGAAGGAAUGGGGAGAAGGGCAAGGCCUGCCAGAGCCAUGCUUGCCUUGUGUAAGCUAGCUAGUGUCCCUUCAAGGAGGAUCAGGAAUUCAAUGUCAUCGUUGGCUGCAUAGUUAGUUCAAGGCCAGCAUGGUCUCUGUCUCUGUCUCUGUCUCUCUCUCUCUCUCACACACACACACACACACACACACACACACCAUAGAAACUACAAGAAAUCAUAAAGUAAGACUACCUCUGGGUCGAUCUUUCUUUCUUCUAUCUCAAAUUUGCUGCUUCAAUUACUGCUUCUAAAUAUUUCCAACAGGCAGCUGUUUGAGUCUGCAGAGGUGAAGCAGCAAACCCAUCCAGCUUGGCCCUGUCUGCCAUAGCAGACAUUAGCAAUCCAUCAUCGAACUCAUUCACCCUGAGAUGGGACUGCAGACCUCCUCCUCUACUGCUUGCUUAGCACCUAUUGGAGGAGCGAGGGAUUUUCCUUCCGUGUUUGAGAACUUGCCACGUGGUAAUCUUCUCUGUGCCCCACAACUCUAUCAAAGGCCCUACUCAUGCCUGGACACGUUUCCCCACAUCCUGUUAAGAAGGAACUGCUGCUGGCUCAGCGUUUGUAGAAGAAAGUCGGUAACGGCUCCAUCGCUGGCCCCGGUUCUCUCAGAACAUUCUACUGUGCCGAGAUGCCCGGUGCUGAUGAAGCAACUUGGCUACCUAAUCCAGCCUAAUCCAGCCGAGAUGCCCGGUGCUGAUGAAGCAACUUGGCUACCUUCCACGAGUGUCCCAAGAUCUUCAUAUGACCUGGAGGGACGCCGGGAAGGAGGACGUGAAAAAGAGGAAGGAGGACCAAAGGAGGCACAGACUGCUGGGAGAGCCAGCCAUACCCCUGGCCCCCCUGUAAGAGAAACAGACAAGGAAGCCCCCAGGGGUUCCAAGCUCCUAAGACCAAACUCCCAGCUCCAGGGUCUAACCAGCCAGCAAGACCCCCAGAUGAGGCAGGGCAGGGCAGUGAGCUCCAUCUCAGCUCCCAGGACAAGUGAAUAGCACUGAGUUCACACCCUCCCAGCUGCCCCAGGGCCCUCUGUACUUGUACUCAGUCUAGAGCUUCUCUCUGUCACUGAGGUGGAGGGGAGGAGGCCUGGAUUGUACUGUAAAGCCAGGCUGGGAGGGAGUCCCGAGAAAGCUCUCAGCAGGAGAAAAAGAGAGACUCCUACAAAUGGAGAAGGUUAACAGUAGGAUGUUGAGGAACCAGGCUCACAUGCCUGAAUUCCAGCACUCUGGGACCAAAGGCAGAAGAAUGGCUAUGAGUUCAAGACCAACCUGGGCCACAGCACCCUGUCAAAAAGAAAAACAAACAAAACAACAAUAAAAAACUGGUUUGUAUGAGUGUCCUAGUCCA
This 1707-nucleotide long non-coding RNA is filed under the name Mus spicilegus (steppe mouse). RNAcentral describes it as "lncRNA (ENSMSIG00000012786.1)". The record is from RNAcentral. Lineage: Eukaryota; Metazoa; Chordata; Mammalia; Rodentia; Muridae.